UUUAGAAGAAAUAAAAAACUAGAUUAAUAUUAGUUAUGUACUUAAAAAUUAAAAAAUUUGGCGGUGAUUUAAUCUUAUCAGAGGAACUUGUUUUUUAAUCGAUAAUCCACGAAAAAUCUUACUUGUUUUAGUUUUAGAAAAAUCAGUUUGUAUACCAUCAUUAUUAGAUGAUUCUUAAAAGAAAAAUUAUUAAAAAUAAAUAUAAUUAUUUAAAUUAGAUCAUGGUGCAGCUUAUAAACAAGAUAAAAUGAGUUACAAUAAAUUUUUUUAUGAUGAAUUAAUAAAAUAAAUGUUAUUAUGAAGGAGGAUUUGAUAGUAUUAUAAUUUUAAUAAGUUUAUGAGAAAUUGGCUCUAAAUCAUGUACAUAUCGCCCGUCGCUUUCAUUUAUGAAUGAAAUAAGUCGUAACAUA
This 410-nucleotide ribosomal RNA is filed under the name Episesarma versicolor. RNAcentral describes it as "partial 12S ribosomal RNA". Lineage: Eukaryota; Metazoa; Arthropoda; Malacostraca; Decapoda; Sesarmidae. The record is from RNAcentral.